This 872-nucleotide long non-coding RNA is filed under the name Chinchilla lanigera (long-tailed chinchilla). Its description in RNAcentral is "lncRNA (ENSCLAG00000022524.1)". The record is from RNAcentral. Lineage: Eukaryota; Metazoa; Chordata; Mammalia; Rodentia; Chinchillidae.
GGAGCUGUGGUUCCCAUCUCCAUGAUACACACUGCUCGCUGCCCAAUGGUCACAGAGAAACGCACACACCAGGAAUCUCACGGUAAGCGAAACAUGACAAGUGUGAUCAGUGCUGCAAAGAGAAAUCAUGGUGCCAUGCAGCUCUUUCAGAAGGUCCCUGGAAAGGGGACCUGAAACUCUGUGAUCCAAGGAAAUAAUUAGGCAGAAGGGAAGGAAGAGUUCACCGAGCAAAGCUGCGGCAGAGGCAGCCUGGUAAGGAAGGCGAGAGAUGGUACAGCUGCUGCAGGUCUUAGUGGAUGGCUAUGGAGACCGACAACAAGGAGAUAAAAGUGGAGAUGGGGGCUUAAAAUCCUGGCACGGCAACCGUUUCUCCUACAAAAUACUUUCCUUGAGCUGACUGACACAGAAACUUCAAGAGAGAAAGAACCGUGCUCCAUUCUGAAGGUUUUCCUUUGCUUUGCCUCUGCUCCAUCCCCUGAGCUCAGAAAGCUGCUUCAGAAGCCUCACCGUGGUUGUCUGCGCCUGCACAGCAAUGUGCAAUGGUUCCAUCCACUCAGCGGUAAGGAGAGUUUCAAAAGCCCUUUGUGUCCCCAUUGGUCAUUUGUCUCCAUCAGACGCAACAGGAAAUUCAACAGCACCUCCAUUGGCCUAGGAUACCCUCCCAAAAGCCCUGAACUCUCCAUCUGUCAAAGAAAGGAAGCCCUGCCUAGGGAAGUUCUCCCCACCAGUGGGCCCCCGGGGGCAGCAUGGAAAAUGCCAAGCUCACUUCACUUUCUAAGCAUGUGGCAAGGACUUUGGCGUCACUUCCCUGCCAGCUGGGUGUGUGGUGAACAAGAGCGAAGGGAGCAGAAAUGAUCUAACAAGUUAGAGCG